This 475-nucleotide ribosomal RNA is filed under the name Electra pilosa. Its description in RNAcentral is "partial 16S ribosomal RNA". It matches the Rfam family "Archaeal large subunit ribosomal RNA", at positions 1906 to 2663 of the family's 2987-position model. The record is from RNAcentral. Lineage: Eukaryota; Metazoa; Bryozoa; Gymnolaemata; Cheilostomatida; Electridae.
CAUAGCCUUUUUGUCAUCAUAAAAGGUAAAGCCUGCCCGGUGUAAUCUUAUAAACGGCUGUUAUAACAUUAAAGUAGCGUAAUAAUUUGUUCCUUCAUUGGGGACUUGUAUGAAAGGCAGAACGGAAAUUUACUGUUUCUUUCGAAUUCUAAAAAAUUUCUAUUUAAGUGAAAAAGCUUAAAUUUCACUAAAAGGACGAGAAGACCCUAUAGAAUUUAAUAGCAUAAGGUUUUUUAUAAAUUUAUCUAUUUUGUUGGGGCAACAGGGGAGAAAAAACUCCAGUCUAUACAAUUUAAUAAUCAUAAAUAAAAUUUAUUGAUCCUAAAAUAGAACAAAGAAAAAUUACCUUAGGGAUAACAGCGUAAUAUCUCCCAGAGAGACCUAAUUGAAGGGAGAGUUUGCGACCUCGAUGUUGGACUAAGAUAGCUUUCAAAUGCAGCAGUUUGAAAUAGUAAGCCUGUCCGGCUUUUAAAAU